RNAcentral lists this ribosomal RNA (224 nucleotides) under uncultured bacterium. RNAcentral describes it as "partial 16S ribosomal RNA". It matches the Rfam family "Bacterial small subunit ribosomal RNA", at positions 524 to 740 of the family's 1533-position model. The record is from RNAcentral.
UACGUAGGGUGCAAGCGUUAAUCGGAAUUACUGGGCGUAAAGCGUGCGCAGGCGGUUUUGUAAGUCUGUCGUGAAAUCCCCGGGCUCAACCUGGGAAUUGCGAUGGAGACUGCAAGGCUAGAAUCUGGCGAGAGGGGGGUGAGAAUUCCACGUGAUGAGCAGUGAAAUGCGUAGAGAUGUGGAGGAGCACCGCAGUGGCGGAAGGCAGCCCCCUGGGUCAAGAU